UUAGAGUUUGCAGCAAUUUAUUUCACGGACACAAAAUAUAAAUAGACUUUUUAAAAUUCAUUAGAAGAACAUGGACAAUUAAGUUUUGCCUCGUAAACAUUUCUUUUAAAUUUAUCAACUAUAUAUAACAUUAGUGUGGGAGUGGAUAACGCCCUGGAUAGUUAUAUACAUUAAAUUUUUAAUACUUUUUGGAAUUGUUAAUCUUGUCUAUGAGAUGUUACGAUAUCUGUAUAAUCUAUUAUUUGGCUCCAACACACUACAACAUCAAUAUCAUGAACCAUCAUAUCAACCAGAAUCUUUUAAUCCAUAUGAGCAACGGAGAAUAACAAAUUUGAAUGAUGUGAAAGCGUAUAACUAUGAUCAUCAGCCAAUUUAUGUUGGAAGUAAAAUCGAAAGAUGUCGGUAUUUGAUACAAUGGCUCAAACGAAAGUUGAAUGCACGACAGGAAAAUGUGCUUGCUAUUGAUUGUGAAUGGAAUUCGUCGGGCUACGGUCGUGAACGGGUUGCUCUACUACAAUUGGCCACAUUAAACAAUUCGCAAAGCGGUGGUUGCAUUCUCAUUCGAUUGUGUAAAUUGAACAAGGAUGACAUUUAUCGGGAGCUAAAGGUAAACAUAAAAGCAUAUUUGGGCGACCAUUUUUAAUGUCAAAAUUAAAUAUCUUUGAACAUUUGAAAUAAUGGAAGACAGUGACAUUGUGAAGAUCGGCGUGGCUCCAUUCACUGAUGCAAAAUUUUUACGUGAUGAUUACGGUGUUCAUGUUAGAAGCACACUUGACUUACGCUAUAUGGCCCAUGCAGCUGGCCUUCCUCCCGGAGGAUUAGCAAAGAUGUCGGAAGAUUAUUUGGGUGUUUCACUCGAUAAGUCUUCGAAAUUUAGCGAUUGGGAAGCAGAGAUGUUAAGUGAGACGCAAAUCAAAUACGCCGCAGCAGAUGUAGUAAAUGCUAUUCGGUUAUUCAAAUACUUUGCCAGAUACAUUGAACGAUGCAAAGAGCAUAUGUAUGUAACCUUAUUGACAACAUCGCUUCAACGUGCUGAUCACAUGGCUGAUAUUCCAGAUUUGCGUAAUUGUACUUGUCACAAACCAAUAGAUGUAGAGCAUAUCAUUAACAAAUACUGUUUGGAAUAUGUUGAUAAAAAUUAUGGCCCUCCGAAAAGUUUAUGAAAACAUUAACUGAACUGAUUAGAAGACUCUAGUCGCUACGAAACGUCUUUUCAAACUGCCUUCUGGAAUCUCUAUGAACAAGUUGAUUUGACAAAUUUUGGCUUUAUACAAGCCUUAUACAAGACAACGAAAAUGUACAUUUUUUUUGAAAUUUUAUAGAUUUUUCUAUACGUAAUUCUAUUUUUCAUUCGAAUUUUAUUUUUUAUAUGAAUAUUUUUAUAUCAGUAUGCAAAAAUGCUUAAUUAAAAUACUCAUUGAAACAUAUAUUUUUUAUAUGCAAUCAAAUCUGGCUCAAAUAAAACUAAUUCAAUUGUUGUCAUUAUUUAAAUA
Sitodiplosis mosellana (orange wheat blossom midge) is the source of this 1493-nucleotide RNA transcript. It is a transcript of the gene named exonuclease 3'-5' domain-containing protein 2-like, with no coding region annotated. The transcript is spliced from 3 exons. The record is from RefSeq and is a predicted model, not a curated record. NCBI's taxonomy places the organism in Eukaryota, Metazoa, Arthropoda, Insecta, Diptera, Cecidomyiidae.